GGCGAUCAGAUACCGCCCUAGUUCUGACCGUAAACGAUGCCAUCUCGCGAUUCGGAGGGUUUUUGCCCUGCCGAGGAGCUAUCCGGAAACGAAAGUCUUUCGGUUCCGGGGGUAGUAUGGUUGCAAAGCUGAAACUUAAAGAAAUUGACGGAAGGGCACCACAAGGCGUGGAGCUUGCGGCUUAAUUUGACUCAACACGGGAAAACUCACCCGGUCCGGACACCAUUAGGACUGACAGAUUGAAAGCUCUUUCUCGAUUUGGUGGUUGGUGGUGCAUGGCCGUUCUUAGUUGGUGGAGUGAUUUGUCUGGUUUAUUCCGAUAACGAGCGAGACUCUAGCCUGCUAAAUAGUUGGCGAAUCUUCGGGUUCGUAUAACUUCUUAGAGGGAUAAGCGGUGUUUAGCCGCACGAGAUUGAGCGAUAACAGGUCUGUGAUGCCCUUAGAUGUCCGGGGCUGCACGCGUGCUACACUGGUGGAGUCAGCGGGUUUUUCCUAUGCCGAAAGGUAUCGGUAAACCGUUGAAAUUCUUCCAUGUCCGGGAUAGGGUAUUGUAAUUAUUGCCCUUAAACGAGGAAUGCCUAGUAAGUGUGAGUCAUCAGCUCACGUUGAUUACGUCCCUGCCCUUUGUA
Molecule: ribosomal RNA, 629 nt
Filed under: Rhabditis cf. longicaudata Konza IIAB-27
Lineage: Eukaryota; Metazoa; Nematoda; Chromadorea; Rhabditida; Rhabditidae
Description: SSU rRNA
Rfam family: Eukaryotic small subunit ribosomal RNA
Source: RNAcentral